GGGGCGGUCUCCUCCUAAAGAGUAACGGAGGAGCACGAAGGUUGGCUAAUCCUGGUCGGACAUCAGGAGGUUAGUGCAAUGGCAUAAGCCAGCUUGACUGCGAGCGUGACGGCGCGAGCAGGUGCGAAAGCAGGUCAUAGUGAUCCGGUGGUUCUGAAUGGAAGGGCCAUCGCUCAACGGAUAAAAGGUACUCCGGGGAUAACAGGCUGAUACCGCCCAAGAGUUCAUAUCGACGGCGGUGUUUGGCACCUCGAUGUCGGCUCAUCACAUCCUGGGGCUGAAGUAGGUCCCAAGGGUAUGGCUGUUCGCCAUUUAAAGUGGUACGCGAGCUGGGUUUAGAACGUCGUGAGACAGUUCGGUCCCUAUCUGCCGUGGGCGCUGGAGAAUUGAGGGGGGCUGCUCCUAGUACGAGAGGACCGGAGUGGACGCAUCACUGGUGUUCGGGUUGUCAUGCCAAUGGCACUGCCCGGUAGCUAAAUGCGGAAGAGAUAAGUGCUGAAAGCAUCUAAGCACGAAACUUGCCCCGAGAUGAGUUCUCCCUGACUCCUUGAGAGUCCUGAAGGAACGUUGAAGACGACGACGUUGAUAGGCCGGGUGUGUAAGCGCAGCGAUGCGUUGAGCUAACCGGUACUAAUGAACCGUGAGGCUUAACCUU
RNAcentral lists this ribosomal RNA (655 nucleotides) under Escherichia coli. Its description in RNAcentral is "partial 23S ribosomal RNA". It matches the Rfam family "Bacterial large subunit ribosomal RNA", at positions 2276 to 2925 of the family's 2925-position model. Lineage: Bacteria; Pseudomonadati; Pseudomonadota; Gammaproteobacteria; Enterobacterales; Enterobacteriaceae. The record is from RNAcentral.